GAUGAACGCUGGCGGCGUGCCUAAUACAUGCAAGUCGAGCGAACAGACGAGGAUCUUGCUCCGCUGACGUGAGCGGCGGACGGGUGAGUAACACGUGUAUAACCUACCUAUAAGACUGGUAUAACUUCGGGAAACCGGAUCUAAUACCGGAGAAUAUAUUGAACCGCAGGGUUCAAUGGUGAAAGACGGUUUUGCUGGCACUUAUCGAGGGAUCUGGGCCGCAUUAGCUAGUUGUUAAGUUAACGGCCUACCAAGGCAACGAUGCGUAGCCGACCUGAGAGGGUGAUAGGCCACACUGGAACUGAGACACGGUCCAGGCUACUACGGGAGGCAGCAGUAGGGAAUCUUCCGCAAUGGGCGAAAGCCUGACGGAGCAACGCCGCGUGAGUGACGAAGGUCUUCGGAUCGUAAAAAUCUGUUAUUAGGGAAGAACAGCUGUGGAAGUAAAUAUGGCCGUCUUGACGGUAACUAAUCAGAAAGCAACGGCUAACUACGUG
This 497-nucleotide ribosomal RNA is filed under the name uncultured bacterium. Its description in RNAcentral is "partial 16S ribosomal RNA". It matches the Rfam family "Bacterial small subunit ribosomal RNA", at positions 28 to 507 of the family's 1533-position model. The record is from RNAcentral.